RNAcentral lists this ribosomal RNA (493 nucleotides) under uncultured bacterium. RNAcentral describes it as "partial 16S ribosomal RNA". It matches the Rfam family "Bacterial small subunit ribosomal RNA", at positions 355 to 866 of the family's 1533-position model. The record is from RNAcentral.
UGGGGAAUAUUGGACAAUGGGGGCAACCCUGAUCCAGCCAUGCCGCGUGAGUGAUGAAGGCCUUCGGGUUGUAAAGCUCUUUUGGCGGGGACGAUGAUGACGGUACCCGCAGAAUAAGCCCCGGCUAACUUCGUGCCAGCAGCCGCGGUAAGACGAAGGGGGCUAGCGUUGUUCGGAAUUACUGGGCGUAAAGCGAGUGUAGGCGGUUGCCGUAGUCAGGUGUGAAAGCCUUGAGCUCAACUCAAGAAAUGCACUUGAUACUGGGUGACUAGAGGACCGGAGAGGAUAGUGGAAUUCCCAGUGUAGUGGUGAAAUACGUAGAGAUUGGGAAGAACACCAGUGGCGAAGGCGGCUAUCUGGACGGUUACUGACGCUAAGACUCGAAAGCGUGGGGAGCAAACAGGAUUAGAUACCCUGGUAGUCCACGCCGUAAACGAUGGGUGCUAGACGUUGGCGAGCUUGCUCGUCAGUGUCGCAGCUAACGCGUUAAGCA